This 87-nucleotide transfer RNA is filed under the name Trachelomonas grandis. RNAcentral describes it as "tRNA-Ser". It matches the Rfam family "tRNA". From Rfam's summary of the family: Transfer RNA (tRNA) molecules are approximately 80 nucleotides in length. Their secondary structure includes four short double-helical elements and three loops (D, anti-codon, and T loops). Lineage: Eukaryota; Euglenozoa; Euglenophyceae; Euglenales; Euglenaceae. The record is from RNAcentral.
GGAGAAUUGUCUGAGUGGCUUAAAGAGCUCGAUUGCUAAUCGUGUGUAUUUUAAAAAAUACCGAGGGUUCAAAUCCCUCAUUCUCCA